This 3285-nucleotide long non-coding RNA is filed under the name Ficedula albicollis (Collared flycatcher). RNAcentral describes it as "lncRNA (ENSFALG00000028685.1)". Lineage: Eukaryota; Metazoa; Chordata; Aves; Passeriformes; Muscicapidae. The record is from RNAcentral.
AAAAAAAAAAAAAAUAGAUGAAGAAAAAGCUAAUGAAUUAGAAAAGAAAUAAUAUAAGAACAAAAAUGGGAACAAGAAUACUCCAUCUCUCUGACCAGCCAGGCAAGCAGAAAGGAGAAAAAUGUGUGUUCUCCAUCCUCUCCCUGAGAGAGUCUAUGUGUGCUUCAUCAACCCUGACUGCCUACAGUAUGCAACAGACUUCACCACCUUCCUUCACCAAGAAGAUUGCUUGCACAGAGAAGGCUCCUCAGACUGCUUGGGACACCUUGCACAGAUGCAUGCCACUGCCUUGAACUCAGAAUGGACACUAAAAGAGAUCCUGAACAUAUUGGUGGGAAAUGUGAUCAGACACCUGCAACUCAGACCCUACCUGUUGGGUAAAGGACAGCUAGAACUUCUUGUGAUAUUCCCAGUUUUAUCUGACAUAAAUCCACUAAUUUCCAUACAGUAGUCCACCCAACCCUAAUUCAAAGUUUUUUGAACAGAGGUUGACAACAGUUAACAGGUGACAACAGGUUUCAAGUAUUUAGUUUGUGAAUGAGCCUGUGAAAAUGCUCAUAACCCCUCAGUAACUAGUGUUGGUGCCUGAUGAGAGGACAGAACAUGGAAUAUAAUCUAUGGCUAUCUGUGGAUCAAUUAUGCAUACAUAUAUAUAUAUAUGCACACAUAUAUAUCUCUGUGUGUAAGAGUAUUUGUACUGCAUAUAUUCUUUUUCCUUUAGCAAACUUCUUUGAUAAAGUAAAAUAUAGGAUGCAGAAUUAUAAGAGAGUAACAGUAAAACUUGCCACUGUGACCUUUUUGUUCAUUCAUAGCAACACAAAAAUUACCAGUAUAAUAUAGCACAAUCAAAAAUAUAAAUAUAGUUUCUUACUUGAAGGAAGAAUAGGGAGAAAACUCAGUGCUCUUCACUUGAAAGGCUCUAAAAUACCACAGGGCUUGUGCAGCAUAAGGAAGUGACAGAGAUAGAACAUAAACUGUACAGUCACACCUAUUAGUGAACAUAAUGCUAUAUUAAUGACACUUUUGCAUCAAAUAUAAGAACAGAAACUAUACUGUGUGUCAUUUAGUUAAUUUAGAGGAAAAACUUACACCAAAAAUAUGUGCUCACUGCAACGAUUCAAGGUUGAAUGCUUUUCACAAUAGAUUUGCAAAAUAAGCAGCAACCUAAUAAAAAGUUAUGUCAGUCUUUACAGUUCGUCAGCCAAACCUAAGAAAAUAACAUUGAAUGAUUGGCGGCAGAGUUUUGUGGAAACAAUGCGUAUGGAAAAGAGUGACAAUACUGUGCCUGGUGCUGGCUUCAUACUGAAAAUAUCUGUGCUUUGCAAUUGCUGUGGAUUAAUAUAUCUCUUGAAAUGUAUGUACAUUCAGGUAGUAUUAAGAGAUAAAUAUAUGCCUUUUCAAUGGUACUUUUUAAUUUGGGAGAAUGUCACAGAAUACUUUUCAACACUUCUAGGAAACUGUUACUCACUAAACAAAGCCUGUAGCCCACUGUUUUUCAUGUAAACCCAUCAUGAUAAAAUAUAUCAAUAAAUAAGUAUUAAAAUGCUGUCUGGAAUAAACUUGUAUCACUAUAACAUUUCAGGGAAGUAUUUGUACUUCUUUCUUUGCAGGAUUUUUUUUUCUUUCCUUUCUCUCUAAACCUGUAUAAGAAUUGAUUUGAAUAUAUUCAGAUUUUCACAUUUUCAGGCAGGCUUCUUGGUUCUCUACUUUCCCUAAAAGGCUGUGCUUCCACUGAUGUUCCCCAGUGUAGUGGGAUAUCAGAACCUAUAAGAAACACUACAUUUUUUAAAUAGAAUGUUUUAAUACUUUCCAUCCUUUCAUGCUGUUUGUCUCAAGUAAUGAUUUCUUUCUGGGGUAUGGUAUCAAUGGUUAUUACUUGAAUGUACAAGACAGUAAGUGAAAUAUCACAGUGGAAAUAAGCUGUUAAGGAUGAUAUUGGCUAAAAUACUAGUUUAUUUGGAAAGUCCAAUUUAUCCUGAAAUCUGUGACAAGGAAAACAUCAAGUUUGGAUCAUAGGAGUUUACACAACUACUGGGAGCAGGAUUGGAUGGUGUUUUUGGUACCUCUGCAUUUCAAUUUCAUAUAAGCCAUAACAUAAUUAUGAUUUAGGCUAAGCAAACUAAUAGAAUUAUGAGUCACAAAAGGUAACUUCUCUGAAUUUAGCUUUUUUUUUCUUUUUCUUUUUUUAUCUGAAGUUUACAUAGAAGCAUUCAUGUAAGAUACUCAGCUGUCCUAUACUUGAUCAAGAACUUGAUAAAGGGAUAAUUUUUGCUGCCACUACUGGGAUUUUCCACAUAUGUGCAAUCACAGAGAUAUAAAUAUAUGCAAUUCUUCUAUUUAGUUCUUACAAUAUGACUUAAAGUUAAAAAUCAUAUCAGUAAAAACCAACAGGAAUUCUGUUUUUAUAAAAGUGGAACUCAGAUUUCAUCCAAAUAUGACAAAGAUACUAUUGAAAAGCUGUUUUUUUAUGAAAACUCUCAAAUCACUUGGGAUUUCACUUUUUUUUUUUAAUUAUACUUUUCUAUGUAAGACCAACCAUCUUACACGGUGAUCCUUAAACCAUCCAGUCAAAUCUCUCAGAGCAGAAUUAUGUAUGGUUCCCAGAAGAAAACAGCUGAAAACACUAAAGCUAGAUGGACAGAUGCAUUAAUUAUUACAUUAACUUCAAAUAUUUUUUUCCAUACCAAUAUGACUGAGAAAUAGAGAAUUUUUCAAACCAAGUAUUUGACAGGUAACAUACAGGGUAACAUGUCAUUUAUCUGUUAGACAAGAAAAUGCUCUUCUAGCUGAAUCUUAAUAAAAUAAACUUCUGUCUUCAUAUUUAGAAAGAUUUCACAAAAUACUUAGAUCUUGCCUCUGCACAAGAUGUCCAUAUAAUUUUCUUCCAUUUUAAGUAUUCCUUAAAGUAUAUUAGUGUAUCAUUAACAACCUGUGAACAUCAGGUGUGUGAAUGAUGUCCCUUCAUACAAAAGAUUGUCUUUUAAAAACACAACUCUCAGAGUGCCUCAUUUGAUUUUUCCCAGUUGGUAUGGAACCCAGGGCUGAAUCAAUGGAAAUACUUAAUCUUUCCUUUCUAUCAAAGCUAAAUACAGUACUGCAAAUGUUUGUGGUAUAUUCUCAAGCUCUUACUUACCAUUUAUUGUAAAACCAUAUCAAAAAAGAACGUAAAUAAAAUUCAAAAUGUUCUCUAGACAGAAGAUUUCUAUGUUGUAUUUAUCUCUGUAGUUUUGUAGGGACCUGAUUCUACUUAAUGAAUAAUAUUUUUAUUUUAAAGGCAAGUCUUUA